UACGGAGGGUGCAAGCGUUGUCCGGAAUCACUGGGCGUAAAGGGCGCGUAGGCGGCUCAUGAAGGCUGUGGUGAAAGUCCGGGGCUCAACCUCGGAUCGGCCGUGGCGACUCGUGGGCUGGAGCACUGUAGAGGCGGGUGGAAUUCCGGGUGUAGCGGUGGAAUGCGUAGAGAUCCGGAGGAACACCAAAGGCGAAGGCAGUGUCCUGGGGAGUACCUGACGCUCAGGUGCGAAAGCCAGGGGAGCGAACGGG
Molecule: ribosomal RNA, 253 nt
Filed under: uncultured bacterium
Lineage: Bacteria
Description: partial 16S ribosomal RNA
Rfam family: Bacterial small subunit ribosomal RNA
Source: RNAcentral